Molecule: ribosomal RNA, 374 nt
Filed under: uncultured bacterium
Lineage: Bacteria
Description: bacterial SSU rRNA
Rfam family: Bacterial small subunit ribosomal RNA
Source: RNAcentral
GACGGAGGGUGCUAGCGUUGUUCGGAUUUACUGGGCGUAAAGGGCGCGUAGGCGGCCCUGUCAGUCGGGUGUGAAAGCCCGGGGCUCAACCCCGGAACGGCACCCGAGACGGCAGGGCUGGAGACCGGGAGAGGAGGGUGGAAUAGCCAGUGUAGAGGUGAAAUUCGUAGAUAUUGGCUGGAACACCGGUGGCGAAAGCGGCUCUCUGGCCCGGUUCUGACGCUGAGGCGCGAAAGCGUGGGGAGCAAACAGGAUUAGAUACCCUGGUAGUCCACGCCCUAAACGAUGUGUGCUGGGCGUCGGGGGGCUUGCCCCUCGGUGCCGGAGCUAACGCGGUAAGCACACCGCCUGGGGAGUACGGCCGCAAGGUUAAA